This is a long non-coding RNA of Pomacea canaliculata, 1071 nucleotides long. RefSeq lists it as uncharacterized. NCBI's taxonomy places the organism in Eukaryota, Metazoa, Mollusca, Gastropoda, Architaenioglossa, Ampullariidae. The transcript is spliced from 3 exons. The record is from RefSeq and is a predicted model, not a curated record.
GGGGUUGGAAGCCAACAAAUCUUGGAAUUAAGAUCUUAAAUACAUUGGUCUUAUGGAAUUUGGCGGGAACUAACAAUUAAUUCGAUAUAGGGAGGUUUUCGACUCAGGGAAGGUGGACUUAUCAAGGUCUGACUAUAUAAGCAGACACCUUUGUAAACAGUGCGUGGUACUGUAAGCUCAGAAAGGAGCAACAACAAGUUGAUGAUGAAGACCUCGGUUCUUCUUCUGACUUGUGUCUUUCUUGUGCUGCUUUGUGUGUGUUUGCUGCCUGCCUACCAGUCGCCUCGAGUCUACGGGUCAGACAGACAAUGUAUCGGGUUGAAAGGAAGAUGCCAGUUUGACCACUUACGUUGCUAUGGCAGGCAUGUUUCUGGUUAUUGCGAUGGUCCUCCCAACAGAAGGUGCUGUCUCCCACGUGUCUGGUAAAAGAUCCGCAAUGAACUGAUUGAGAGAAGAGAGUCCAGUCCACCCGAACUGUGUACUAAGCACCUGGGGUGUGAAUCGGCAGUUCCGCGAUAGUGUCGCUCUUCCCGUCUUGUGUGUGUUUGCCAGAAGUUGGUAAUGUUAUCGAAAUGUGGGAAAAUCUGCAUCUUUAGACAACCCUAGAACUCUAUCAGCUGACACAGACGUAAAUAUGUCUUGAAAACAUUCUUUCGAAAAAAAAAAAUGCUGGCACUAAAGAGUUUGAUGGAAUGUAAAUAUACUCAACCACGAACUGGUAUCUCCUAUAUACGUCCAUGCUCUGACAACACGAUUCUCAUUCAUAUCUAUGCUGAACCGCGUGCAAUGUCCAUAUAAUGUUCACGGAGUUUGUACAGAUAUAAUUUAAGUCAAAAAAGUACAAAUCAACUAACAUAUUUCAAUACUCUAAAUACGUGACUGAAUAAACAAGUAGAACAUCACAUCCUGGUCGCUUGUUGGUUUUAUGGUAUUUUGUUGUCACGCUCAAGUUUUGUAUGUAUUCUAUUCAUCUCAUUGAUUUCUGUCAGUUAAAUGCCUUUUAUAUUUUUGAUUUGAUUGUUAACUUUUCUUCCUGUACCAGCUUCCAAAUUAAAACCAUGAAAAAUUCAA